CGCCCCUUCGUCUCUCCCGAAUCGACAGAAACUGUGGUUCUGCCCACUCGUCUCCAUGCGCUACUGCCUCCCCUCCAUGGCGAUUAGUUCUUAGUCUCCCAAUUUCCCAUCUCUGUUGAUACAUCUAGGCAUCCACUGCCGCCGCUCGGCCCGCCGCACCGUCUACCAACCGCUGCCACCCGCCUGCCCGCUGUGCCGGCUGCUCGCUGCCGCAUCCAAUCCAAUCUGGACGCCACCGCUGGUGCCUGCUGCCUGCUGCCACCCCAUCUCUUCUCGCGCUGCUUGCUGCUGCCCCUGCUCUUCUCGACCGAUACAACCGAAGGAGGAGGCGCCGAAGGAGCAAGCAAGGUAACAGUGAUGCAACCCUUUUCCGAAAGAAAGAGAGGCGAAGAAAGUGUGAAUAAGAUAUAUAUCGAUUUUCGGCGGCUUCGCUCAAGGCCGACGAUUGGGCGCGUGUGGUGGCAGUUCGAGGAGUGGCGACAUCUUCUGGUGGAUUGUUGUGUGUGCUCUGGUCUGAAAGUUUGUGCUUGGAAGGAGUGGCAACAUCUUCAGGUGGAAGGAGUGGCAGUUCAAGGACAUCUUCAGCAGUGGUCUGAAUUGAUUCAGGAAUUCUGCACGCCAUCCAAACUGAUUUACUAAAUAUUGGAUGUUCAGCACUCUCCUGAGGUGAAUAAUGUAUUGAAAGAGAUGUCAUCAUCAGAGGAUGAGCAAGUUGAACACGGCACUGUAGAACAUGAAUUGUUUUCCAUGCCAUCUGAUGCCAUGGAGCAUGUAACAAAAUUGUUUUCCAUGCCAUCUGAUGCCAUGGAGCAUGGAACAAAUAGCAGCAGCAGCACAUAGCAGCAGAUCAAUCUACAGGCAACUGUACCUUCUUCAGAGUGCAAAUAGCAGCAGCAGCAACACGGCGCAGUCACUUGGACCAGCAGCAGCAGCAACACGGCAUGUUCACUUGGAUCAGCAGCAGCAACACAGGUAGAGGAGCAGCAGCAUCAACACGGGCAGAGGAGCAGCAGCAGCACGGGCUAGCUCCACCGGCGGCAGGGGAGAAGCAGAGGAGAAACAGAGCAGCAGCAGGCACGUGGGCAGAGGAGAAGGAGCAGCACGGCAGCCGGUGGGAGCUCGACGAGGACUUGCGGGAGAUAGAGGAGGACGCGCGCAAGCUCUUGUCCACCGGAUUGUGGAGGCCGGUUCCGGCGAUGCCCGUAGGAGAUCACGGCGGGAGGGGUCGCGGCGGCACACGGGAGGCAGCUCAAGGUGGACUCGCGGCAGCUAGAGGAGGACUCGCGGUAGCUCGAGGAAGAUGAGAGGGAGCUCCUGCUCUGCCGGAUCGUGGUGGGAAAUUCCGGCGACGUCCGCAGGUAAUCCGGCGAGAGGGGAUCGCUGCGGCACAGGUUCGGGCGGCGGUGGCGGAGCAGGUACUUGGCGACGGCGGCGGCGGCGAAGGUACGUGGUGACGGAGGCGGAGCACUUCCUGAUGGGCGCCAAAUCACGCAGCUUGGCGGCGCCGGCCCCUAGCGACGCACGGGCGACGACGGAGGAAGAAGACGGGGGUGGAGGGACUUGUUUGCGACGGUUUGGAAACUACGAGGUUUUUUUUUGCAAAAUCAUCAAUGAACUACGGGCACGACAUGUUUUUCGGGACGGAGGGAGUAGUUGCCAUAGUUUUCCUUUUAUUUGUUCAUAAAUAGUUUGGAUUGCUUACCUGUUGUCAUAUUUUCCUUUAUAAAGGGAAUUUAUUGAAAUCGAGAA
Long non-coding RNA from Aegilops tauschii subsp. strangulata, 1749 nucleotides. RefSeq lists it as uncharacterized. The record is from RefSeq and is a predicted model, not a curated record. NCBI's taxonomy places the organism in Eukaryota, Viridiplantae, Streptophyta, Magnoliopsida, Poales, Poaceae.